Molecule: ribosomal RNA, 253 nt
Filed under: uncultured bacterium
Lineage: Bacteria
Description: partial 16S ribosomal RNA
Rfam family: Bacterial small subunit ribosomal RNA
Source: RNAcentral
UACGUAGGGGGCAAGCGUUGUCCGGAAUUAUUGGGCGUAAAGAGCGUGUAGGCGGUCCGGUAAGUCGGCUGUGAAAGUCCAGGGCUCAACCCUGGGAUGCCGGUCGAUACUGCCGGACUAGAGUUCGGAAGAGGCGAGUGGAAUUCCCGGUGUAGCGGUGAAAUGCGCAGAUAUCGGGAGGAACACCUAUGGCGAAGGCAGCUCGCUGGGACGUUACUGACGCUGAGACGCGAAAGCGUGGGUAGCAAACAGG